Solanum lycopersicum (tomato) is the source of this 734-nucleotide non-coding RNA. The record is from RefSeq and is a predicted model, not a curated record. NCBI's taxonomy places the organism in Eukaryota, Viridiplantae, Streptophyta, Magnoliopsida, Solanales, Solanaceae.
AUUAUUAAAAAAAUAAUGGCACAAAUCUACCUAAAUUAAUGUUAUGACACAAUUAUCAUUAUUAGCCAUAUUUAUCAACCAUGGUUGUAUUGGUCAUCACAUCACUAUCGAUCACGCUACUGUCAAUUAAUAUUGAUGCUAACUUCUAAAGUAUGAUUCAUCAGAUAAAUAAUUUUUACAACACAUGCAAAUUAUUGUGUGCUAAUGGUAUUUAGUUUAUGUUGUUUAUACAGCAUUCGGUGGGGUGGAGUUCAAUGCCUAACAAAAAGGGUCAAAAGCAAAAAAGGAAUGUAUGAACAAAAAGGGAAAAGAUUGCUCUUUUUCGCAGUUUGGUCCGCGGACAGGGUCUACUACAAGAAUCUUUUUUUAUUGGGGCGAAAGCUUCAGUAACAACAAAAGCAGCCUAUCUGGAAUGGCCUACUCCUUACUCAAGCAAAGCUACACGCAACCGCAUAGAGGAAGUUAAGUCAAUCCCUCUAUUUUCAUCUUGAAAGAUUCGGAAAAAUAGAACAUGUUCUACCCUUUCCUUCGAUCGCUUUCAUUUUUUGCCCGAUCAGGCUUCAUCUUCUUAUCGGCAUCCCAACACGAGACAUAAACAAAGACAGGGCUAAUCAGACUUGCCAGAAGAGCCGAUGUACAAAUAAAGAAUCUGUUUUGACAUGAAAUGGAUAUAUCCAUAUAUCUCUGACUCAUAUUUACGAGAUAAUAAAAUAUGGCAAAAGCUAUACCGAAAA